AUCAAUUCCAGAAAACUCGAGAGAGAGAGAGAGAAAACCCGAGUUCUCCGACCCGGAACGCGACCGCGACUGGGUCCGACGGAAAACGCCGUCCGGCCACCUCUCCGCGGCGGACCACCGGCAACAGCAUCGUCUCGGUGGCGCCUACGUCCCUGUGGUCUCAGAUUGCCCAUGCACCGGACGGGGAGGGAGAAACGUCAGUGAGAAGGUCUGAGUCUCUCCGGCGAGUUCUGCAAUUUCCGGCCACCGUCGGAGCUAAAAGUGGUAUGAAAAACUAUCCCCUCGUCAUGCUCUACAACCCAGCAUACUUAGUUUUUCAAUUCGAUCAAGUUUUGACAAAUUGGUUUCUGGGUUGUUUCGGGUUCGACGUCAUGGUUGCCGCCGGUGACUUCUCCGACACUUCUGGGCUUGGUUUUCGUCUAGAUUGCGUCUAUUGAGGUGAAAUUGGGAGGCUUGCUGGGUCGAUUGCAUCAGAAGCAUUAGUUCAUCAUCAGUUGAGUUUCGGCAGUGAGUCGAUUUGGUCGGAAUUGAUUUUCCAAGGACUCCAGUUACCCGAGGAACAGAAGGUUCGUAACUCUCGGAAUACGUGAGAGAACGCAUCGGAAUCCAGUAUGGAUGCAGGUACUGUGCACUGGUGACGGGACAAUAGCGGAUGGAGCUGGGUGUGCAGAACAAGUUCGGUAAAUUACCGUGUGAACCUUAUUCUACAUUCUAUUUCUCGAACUUUGGUUCUGGAGCUUCUUG
This is a long non-coding RNA of Rosa chinensis, 744 nucleotides long. RefSeq lists it as uncharacterized. The transcript is spliced from 3 exons. NCBI's taxonomy places the organism in Eukaryota, Viridiplantae, Streptophyta, Magnoliopsida, Rosales, Rosaceae. The record is from RefSeq and is a predicted model, not a curated record.